UACAGAGGGUGCAAGCGUUAUUCGGAAUUACUGGGCGUAAAGGGCGCGUAGGCGGCCUCGAAAGUCUGAUGUGAAAGCCCUGGACCCAAUCCAGGAAGUGCAUCGGAAACUGCGGGGCUCGAGUGCAGGAGAGGAGGACGGAAUUCCUGGUGUAGAGGUGAAAUUCGUAGAUAUCAGGAGGAACAACAGUGGCGAAGGCGGCCCUCUGGUCCAGUACUGACACUCAAGUGAGAAAGCGUGGGGAGCAAACAGG
RNAcentral lists this ribosomal RNA (253 nucleotides) under uncultured bacterium. RNAcentral's name for it is "partial 16S ribosomal RNA". It matches the Rfam family "Bacterial small subunit ribosomal RNA", at positions 524 to 776 of the family's 1533-position model. The record is from RNAcentral.